GACGAACGCUGGCGGCGUGCUUAACACAUGCAAGUCGAACGGUAAGGCCCCAGCUUGCUGGGGUACACGAGUGGCGAACGGGUGAGUAACACGUGGGUGACCUGCCCCGCACUUCGGGAUAAGCCUGGGAAACUGGGUCUAAUACCGGAUACGACCGCACUGAGGGUGUGGUGGAAAGUUUUUCGGUGUGGGAUGGGCCCGCGGCCUAUCAGCUUGUUGGUGGGGUAAUGGCCUACCAAGGCGGCGACGGGUAGCCGGCCUGAGAGGGUGGACGGCCACAUUGGGACUGAGACACGGCCCAGACUCCUACGGGAGGCAGCAGUGGGGAAUAUUGCACAAUGGGCGGAAGCCUGAUGCAGCGACGCCGCGUGGGGGAUGACGGCCUUCGGGUUGUAAACUCCUUUCACCAUCGACGAAGGUUUUCUGACGGUAGAUGGAGAAGAAGCACCGGCUAACUACGUG
RNAcentral lists this ribosomal RNA (462 nucleotides) under uncultured bacterium. RNAcentral describes it as "partial 16S ribosomal RNA". It matches the Rfam family "Bacterial small subunit ribosomal RNA", at positions 28 to 507 of the family's 1533-position model. The record is from RNAcentral.